Molecule: ribosomal RNA, 180 nt
Filed under: Entyloma eschscholziae
Lineage: Eukaryota; Fungi; Basidiomycota; Exobasidiomycetes; Entylomatales; Entylomataceae
Description: partial 28S ribosomal RNA
Rfam family: Eukaryotic large subunit ribosomal RNA
Source: RNAcentral
CUGGCCUCAAAUCAGGUAGGAUUACCCGCUGAACUUAAGCAUAUCAAUAAGCGGAGGAAAAGAAACUAACAAGGAUUCCCCUAGUAACGGCGAGUGAAGCGGGAAGAGCUCAAAUUUGAAAGCUGUUGCCUUUGGUAACCGCAUUGUAAUCUCGAGAUCUGUUUUCCGCGCUGGACCGUG